This 273-nucleotide ribosomal RNA is filed under the name uncultured bacterium. RNAcentral's name for it is "partial 16S ribosomal RNA". It matches the Rfam family "Bacterial small subunit ribosomal RNA", at positions 523 to 796 of the family's 1533-position model. The record is from RNAcentral.
AUACGGAGGGUGCGAGCGUUACUCGGAGUCACUGGGCGUAAAGCGUCCGUAGGCGGUCGGGUAAGUCGGGUGUGAAAGCCCCGGGCUCAACCUGGGAAGUGCACCCGAUACUGCUCGACUCGAGUGCGGGAGAGGACGGCGGAAUUCCCGGUGUAGCGGUGAAAUGCGUAGAGAUCGGGAGGAACACCAGUGGCGAAGGCGGCCAUCUGGCCCGCAACUGACGCUGAGGGACGAAAGCGUGGGGAGCAAACAGGAUUAGAAACCCCGUAGUCC